UGAGUUUGAUCCUGGCUCAGGAUGAACGCUGGCGGCGUGCCUAAGACAUGCAAGUCGAGUGGGUUUAGACCCACGGCGAACGGGUGAGUAAUACCUAGGAACUUUUCUUAAGUGGAGCAUAACCAGCCGAAAGGUUGGAUAAUACUCCAUGUGACCGCAAGGUUAAAGUCGCAAGACGCUUAAGGUGAGGCCUGGGCACCAUCAGCUAGUUGGUAAGGUAACGGCUUACCAAGGCUAUGACGGUUAGGGGUCCCGAGAGGGAUAACCCCCACACUGGGACUGCGACACGGCCCAGACUCCUACGGGAGGCAGCAGUUUGGAAUUUUGGACAAUGGGGGAAACCCUGAUCCAGCCAUUCCGCGUGAGUGAAGAAGGCCUUCGGGUUGUAAAGCUCUUUCGGCAGGAACGAAACGGUGUGGGCCAAUACCCCAUAUCAAUGACGGUACCUGAAGAAGAAGCACCGGCUAACUACGUGCCAGCAGCCGCGGUAAUACGUAGGGUGCGAGCGUUAAUCGGAAUUACUGGGCGUAAAGCGUGCGCAGGCGGUUUUGUAAGACAGGUGUGAAAUCCCCGGGCUUAACCUGGGAACUGCGCUUGUGACUGCAAGACUGGAGUGUGGCAGAGGGGGGUGGAAUUCCACGUGUAGCAGUGAAAUGCGUAGAGAUGUGGAGGAACACCGAUGGCGAAGGCAGCCCCCUGGGUCAACACUGACGCUCAUGCACGAAAGCGUGGGGAGCAAACGGGAUUAGAGACCCCGGUAGUCUUAGCUGUAAACGAUGUGAACUAGGUGUCGGUGGGUUCAAAUCCAUCGGUACCGAAGCUAACGCGAUAAGUUCACCGCCUGGGGACUACGGCCGCAAGGUUAAAACUCAAAGGAAUUGACGGGGCCCCGCACAAGCAGCGGAGCGUGUGGUUUAAUUCGAUGCUACACGAAGAACCUUACCAGGGUUUGACAUACAAGUGGUAGGGAUCCGAAAGGUGACCGACCCAAGUGGUAGGGAUCCGAAAGGUGACCGACCCUUCGGGGAGCUUGUACAGGUGCUGCAUGGCUGUCGUCAGCUCGUGUCGUGAGAUGUUCGGUUAAGUCCGCUAACGAGCGCAACCCUCGUCGUGUGUUACAAGUGUCACGCGAGACCGCCGGUAUUAAGCCGGAGGAAGGUGGGGAUGACGUCAAGUCAGCAUGGCCUUUAUAUCCUGGGCUACACACACGCUACAAUGGCAGGUACAGUAGGUUGCGAAACCGCGAGGUGGAGCCAAUCCCCAAAGCCUGUCUCAGUUCAGAUUGUAGGCUGCAACUCGCCUGCAUGAAGUCGGAGUUGCUAGUAACCGCAGGUCAGCUAUACUGCGGUGAAUACGUUCCCGGGGUUUGUACACACCGCCCGUCACGUCAUGGGAGCUGGCAACACCUGAAGCCGGUAUCCUAACCCGCAAGGGAGGGAGCCGUCGAGGGUGGGGUCGGUGACUGGGACGAAGUCGUAACAAGGUAGCC
RNAcentral lists this ribosomal RNA (1489 nucleotides) under uncultured bacterium. RNAcentral describes it as "partial 16S rRNA". It matches the Rfam family "Bacterial small subunit ribosomal RNA". The record is from RNAcentral.